AAGAAGGUGCCAUCUAGGAAGCAGGAAGCAGGGCCUGACCAGACACCAAAUCUGCUGGGGCGUUAGUCUUGGAUUUCCAGCCUCCAUAACUGUGCAAAAUCCAUUUCUGUUGCUUAUAAGCUACCCAGCUUCCGGGAUUUUGUUUAGCAGCCCAAAUGGACUAAGACAGUGGCAUAAGUGGAAAUAAACUCAAGCUGAUGCUUCAAAAACGAGAAGGACCAUGGAGCACUUUAGAGACUAUCUUUGGAACACAUAAUCCUCAGUUGGUGGGGCAGGCGUGGAACAGCAGUGUUGCGGUAGUCCGUGUAUCCAAAGAGCUCUUGGGGAAGGGUUUCAAACAGGAAAGCCUUUCUUGUUAUUAGCCUCUGUUUUGAAUAAUGCAUCUAAGAUAAAUGUGACAGCAACAAAAUAUAGAAAUUGGACAGUCUGGGGGUC
RNAcentral lists this small RNA (435 nucleotides) under Pan troglodytes (chimpanzee). RNAcentral describes it as "processed transcript". The record is from RNAcentral. Lineage: Eukaryota; Metazoa; Chordata; Mammalia; Primates; Hominidae.